CUUCUCUGCCUCCUCCUCGCAAUUCAUGUGGCUUGGUAAUGAAUGUGCUUUUCAAGGACAGGUCUCCCUCCUUCCGGGGUCCACACCUGAAGGGUGAUGCCAUCUUGCCCCAGGGAGGAGUGUUUCACGGACUGUCCAACCUGAGAAUGGUGAAUCCCAAAAGGUCAAUCUCAGGUCCGUCAGCCCAUGAGACGCUUGCUCCAGAUCUCCGGACUCUACACCGACAUGCACCCACAUGCCCCUCGCAGUGGACGACAGGUGGCUGAAUCCAUCACCCUACCCCAGAGACAACAUUGACAAGGAUGCUUCAGUUUCACCGCUUGAUGGAAGAGCACCCGUCGCAACUGCCAGCCCUAGAAUGCCAGGAUCCUGGCAGAAGCGCUUGAGAUGUGACAACUUUAAUUGGCAUUCUCGAUGACCUGUGGGAGCCGUAAACAUGUGUUUGCAGGAAACGCGUAGGGCUGUCAUGGAGAAAGAGAAUCGGAUGAGGGAUGAGUCGCCGCUGCUCGAGGUCUUUGUGACUCAGACAAAAGAGAACGGAGAAGAUUUUUGGCAGUUUUCAAGCCAGAGUUUCUGAGAAGACCCGAGAGAAUGGAAGUGCCCGGAAGGGGGAGAAUCCUAAAAUAGAUUCGGGUAGAACUCCUGCAAUGGACUGUCGCAGUCCUGAGAAAAGGACCUUCCUUACUCAUACAGUAACUCUCCUUUAUUGCUGUUGCUGGUCAAGCAUAUCUGACCUGUUUCUGGGUCUCAGAACCAUCUGCAAUCCUGGUGGACUCAGAUAUGAAAGAAGGCAGUUAGAAGCUGCUAAUUACCAGGUGAUGCCUUUGGUAUGUCUACCCUGCUGUUGUCUACAGAUUUGGUGCUCCCAAAAGAUGCUGGACUGCAAUGUCCAUCUACAACAGGUUGGGGAACUGAGUGAAAUUAAACAGAAUUCAGUUCAGCAUGGAGAAAUGGAAGGCUCCACAUUGAGGCAGGAAAAACCAGAUGCACAAAUCUAAGGUGGGUGGGGUGACUACUGGCUUGACAGUAGUAGUGGUCUUAGUAGACCACAAGUGAAUCGUGACGGAACAGUUUGAUUCAUCAGUCAAAAGAAGCCAAUAUAAUAUUAGAAUAGCUGGAUAGCUCAGUGCUUUAGGCAUCUGGCUGAGGUGCCAGAGUCUGAGAGUUUGAUUCCCCACUGGGCCUGCGUGACAGGCCUGGACUUCA
Pogona vitticeps (central bearded dragon) is the source of this 1206-nucleotide non-coding RNA. The record is from RefSeq and is a predicted model, not a curated record. NCBI's taxonomy places the organism in Eukaryota, Metazoa, Chordata, Lepidosauria, Squamata, Agamidae.